Oreochromis aureus is the source of this 652-nucleotide long non-coding RNA. RefSeq lists it as uncharacterized. The record is from RefSeq and is a predicted model, not a curated record. Lineage: Eukaryota; Metazoa; Chordata; Actinopteri; Cichliformes; Cichlidae. The transcript is spliced from 4 exons.
UGUUUAGCACCUUCUCACUGGACGGCUGAAGCUAUCGGUCGGUGCUGAAAUGAAAUCUACUCUACAAAUAUUCUACAUAUUCUCCAGAAGGUCUGCAACAAAAUCUGUUCUAUCCUAUUUUUUAAUGAUGUCUUGAUGUCUUCUGUUUUUCACAGAGAUAUUAAAGAUCACCAUGAGGCUGCUGAUUGUGUUUGCACUUCUUUGUGUAAUGGUCCCUCUGAUCAUUACUGCUCAAAAAUCGGGCAGCAGUGGAGCAGAGGAUAAGCCACCAGAAGAGCAUCUUGUUGACAAGAGAAGCCGGGGGCUUUGGCGCAGAGCUUUUAGUGUCUUUGGAUACGGGAAAAAGGUGGACGAAUGAUAUGUACGGUCACCACUGAUACCGAUUUUGUCUGGGUCUGAAAAAGAAGAUGAUCCCUGGUCUUCCAUGAAAAGCCAUGGCCACCAGACAAAGAAGCAAAUCAUUUCAUCCAACCCUAAACUAUCAGUUUCCCUCUUAGAUCUUUACUUAUUUCCUUUCGCUGUACUGCUACAUAAUGAAUUUGGCAACAAGUGACACAAACUGGAGUGGACUGGACCGUGUCUUCUAAUAGCAAUAGCUGUUCAUUUCUGUUCUUAUUAUCUUCAUCAUUAAACUCUUAAGCAUUAAAUCAAA